RNAcentral lists this small RNA (80 nucleotides) under Paenimyroides ummariense. RNAcentral describes it as "Flavobacterium ummariense Flavo-1 RNA". It matches the Rfam family "Flavo-1 RNA". The record is from RNAcentral. Lineage: Bacteria; Pseudomonadati; Bacteroidota; Flavobacteriia; Flavobacteriales; Flavobacteriaceae.
AAUUUGCGUUAGGGAUUAUAGCAGAUAGCCUUUUGUGGCUUAAAUGCCACAAAAGCUAUGAGCGAAAAGCCCGACCCGCC